UACGGAGGGAGCUAGCGUUGUUCGGAAUUACUGGGCGUAAAGCGUGCGCAGGCGGUGAUGUAAGACAGAUGUGAAAUCCCCGGGCUCAACCUGGGAACUGCAUUUGUGACUGCAUCGCUGGAGUACGGCAGAGGGGGAUGGAAUUCCGCGUGUAGCAGUGAAAUGCGUAGAUAUGCGGAGGAACACCGAUGGCGAAGGCAAUCCCCUGGGCCUGUACUGACGCUCAUGCACGAAAGCGUGGGGAGCAAACAGG
RNAcentral lists this ribosomal RNA (253 nucleotides) under uncultured bacterium. RNAcentral describes it as "partial 16S ribosomal RNA". It matches the Rfam family "Bacterial small subunit ribosomal RNA", at positions 524 to 776 of the family's 1533-position model. The record is from RNAcentral.